AUGCAGGUCUUCCACGACCUCAAGAAGCGGCAGGGGUGCAGCUCGGGCGCCAGCGCAACCCUGGCUCCUGACGGCCGCUCGCUCUGCCUCCUGCAGCUGGUCGAGAAUGCGCAAGCCGACGGCCUGCAGCUGCUGCUGCCGGCCGAGGAGGAACCGCCGGCCGAAGUAGCGCUUCCCCCGCUGGAUCCAAGCAUGCGUGGCCGGUGCAUGCCCAUCUCCGCCGACGGCCACAUAUGGGCCGUGUCCGCCACCUACUCUUCUUGCACCAGUUACUGCAUCCGAGUACAACGCCUGGUCAUUGAAGAGGAAGAGGGCGCAGCCGCACAACAUUGGGAGCAGGUCGGGAUCCCCUUGGUCCAACUUUGCAAAUUCGAGCCCUACCGUGGGAGCAUAUGGGGUCCUGACUUCCUCCAGGGCUACGCGGUGCUCCCUGGCCAUGGCCGUGAGGGGAGCACCCUCAUCCUGCUCUCCCUCCAAAACGGCCUUUUCUUCACUUUCAACUGUUCCUCCGCUGACUUGGGCUGGACCAAGGUAACCCAAACCUCAGACGCCAAGGACUACGUCCCUAUCCUUGGCCGUGGCCUCUAUGCACAAGAAAGCAAUGCCAUCUACAUGCUCCGCAAAGAUGCGAUCUAUGCAUACAAGCUGGGAUAUGAAGAGGGAAGUCUGAAGAUGGAUCCCCCUGUGGACAUUAUAUUUCCUUAUGUUGACAGAAGCACAGCCCAUGGCUUCCUCACCCAUCUGGGCUCUGGGGUCAUGUGCUCUGUCUUGAUGAGUGUGGGGCUCCCAUGCUGGCCAGACCACCUACACGCCAUUAUCACCACCUUCCACCUUGGUCCUGACCCCUCCCAUAUCAAGGUCCUGCACUCCACCUCCCGCCAGGUGGACAUGUUACCCAUGAAAGACAUCAAUGAAUUUGAAUUCUCCUUUCUCCAAGAGUAUAAGGAUGACAAGGUGCGUCAUCAAGUCCAUGAAGUUCAUGAUGCAGAGGAAGUCCAUGAAGAGGAAGUGCUUCAUGAUCCUUGCAGGCAUCUUUUACCACCAGGUCCUCCUGCUCCCUAUGUGAAGCCACAUAUGGACAAUGAGCUCUUGUUUAUCAUCUGCCAAGCUGGUUCACAAUCAUUUAUCUAUAAAACAAGUCUCAUGGAUCUGAGUCCAGAUCUGAGUUCAAGGUUAGGAAUAGCGACUCCUCUCAAGCCACAUUACAUUGUACAUGGAGAUGAUUGUGGUCCGAGGCAUUUUUUUCUCCUUGACUCAAAACUACAUGCUGUCUCGUUCCUAAAAGAUGGCAUGGAUGUGCUUAACCUGGACACCAGAUGUGAGCAUUUAGAUUUGCAAGCACGGCGGCCUGUUUCUCCUAUUGAUCCUUUUGUCAUGGUUAUCCAAGUUGGUAGGACAACUCUUGCUCUUACUGAAACUCUCCAAGUUUACCGUAAGGCCUUCCUUGUUUGUCCUCCUGGAUCCAUCUCAUGGGUGCGCUGCAUGACAGAUCACUCUAAUAUUCUUGACAGGAAGGUUAAGCUGUCCGGAUAUGUAGUAGUGAGUGAUAAUUCCUUUGUAGUCUGUGAUACUCUCACAUGUUCUUGUUUUCACUUUGACCUGGAUUCCAAGAAGUGGCAUCUUGUUAUGCCUUGGGCUCCAUGGGGAAAAUACCUGCCAAGGGAUAUGUCUAGAUACCGCUUUCUAAAUGGCAAAUGUGUAUUUGUGGAUGGUUUUAUCUACACAUGCUCAGGAAAAGGGCUUGCUGCUUAUGAACUAGUCGAUGAAGAUCAUUGUGUGUACCUAGAUAUCCCAAUAUUUUUGCCACUCUCAUGGGAAAGUGAAAAUUGGAAGACUGAAAGGAUGUGUUUGGAUUAUGCUGGCAAAGAUGUCAACUCGGGUGCCAUCUUGUUUUGGGUGGUGCAAGGUUUGCAAAUCAAGCACCGUGACCACCAUAAUACGUUAUGGAUCACAGCAGUGGAGGUUGAGACUGAGAAAACACCGAGGAAGAGCAUGAAACCGGUUGGAAUUAGGCAUGUAGUCUCUGCUACACGUCUCAUUGAUCAAGAGGAAACCAUCGAUCAAAAGGAAGUAAUCAGUACCAGAUGCUGUGCUCUCUCUUUCUGA
Molecule: ribosomal RNA, 2106 nt
Filed under: Triticum aestivum (bread wheat)
Lineage: Eukaryota; Viridiplantae; Streptophyta; Magnoliopsida; Poales; Poaceae
Description: partial small subunit ribosomal RNA
Source: RNAcentral